UGGGGAAUUUUGGACAAUGGGCGCAAGCCUGAUCCAGCAAUGCCGCGUGCAGGAAGAAGGCCUUCGGGUUGUAAACUGCUUUUGUACGGAACGAAAAGGCUCUGGCUAAUACCUGGAGCUCAUGACGGUACCGUAAGAAUAAGCACCGGCUAACUACGUGCCAGCAGCCGCGGUAAUACGUAGGGUGCGAGCGUUAAUCGGAAUUACUGGGCGUAAAGCGUGCGCAGGCGGUGCUGUAAGACAGGCGUGAAAUCCCCGGGCUCAACCUGGGAAUUGCGCUUGUGACUGCAGCGCUGGAGUGCGGCAGAGGGGGAUGGAAUUCCGCGUGUAGCAGUGAAAUGCGUAGAUAUGCGGAGGAACACCGAUGGCGAAGGCAAUCCCCUGGGCCUGCACUGACGCUCAUGCACGAAAGCGUGGGGAGCAAACAGG
This 429-nucleotide ribosomal RNA is filed under the name uncultured prokaryote. RNAcentral describes it as "bacterial SSU rRNA". It matches the Rfam family "Bacterial small subunit ribosomal RNA", at positions 355 to 776 of the family's 1533-position model. RNAcentral also lists the same sequence under 1 other name. The record is from RNAcentral.